RNAcentral lists this ribosomal RNA (530 nucleotides) under uncultured bacterium. Its description in RNAcentral is "partial 16S ribosomal RNA". It matches the Rfam family "Bacterial small subunit ribosomal RNA", at positions 355 to 895 of the family's 1533-position model. The record is from RNAcentral.
UGGGGAAUAUUGCACAAUGGGCGGAAGCCUGAUGCAGCAACGCCGCGUGAGGGAUGACGGCCUUCGGGUUGUAAACCUCUUUUAGCAGGGAAGAAGCGAGAGUGACGGUACCUGCAGAAAAAGCGCCGGCUAACUGCGUGCCAGCAGCCGCGGUAAUACGUAGGGCGCAAGCGUUAUCCGGAAUUAUUGGACGUAAAGAGCUCGUAGGCGGUUUGUCGCGUCUGCUGUGAAAUCCCGAGGCUCAACCUCGGGCCUGCAGUGGGUACGGGCAGACUAGAGUGCGGUAGGGGAGAUUGGAAUUCCUGGUGUAGCGGUGGAAUGCGCAGAUAUCAGGAGGAACACCGAUGGCGAAGGCAGAUCUCUGGGCCGUAACUGACGCUGAGGAGCGAAAGGGUGGGGAGCAAACAGGCUUAGAUACCCUGGUAGUCCACCCCGUAAACGUUGGGAACUAGUUGUGGGGACCAUUCCACGGUUUCCGUGACGCAGCUAACGCAUUAAGUUCCCCGCCUGGGGAGUACGGCCGCAAGGCU